RNAcentral lists this unclassified non-coding RNA (334 nucleotides) under soil metagenome. Its description in RNAcentral is "partial contains 5.8S ribosomal RNA, internal transcribed spacer 2, and large subunit ribosomal RNA". The stretch from base 1 to 120 matches the Rfam family "5.8S ribosomal RNA", at positions 35 to 154 of the family's 154-position model. The record is from RNAcentral.
GAUGAAGAACGUAGCGAAAUGCGAUACGUAAUGUGAAUUGCAGAAUUCAGUGAAUCAUCGAAUCUUUGAACGCACAUUGCGCCCGCCAGCACUCUGGCGGGCAUGCCUGUUCGAGCGUCAUUUCAACCAUCAAGCCCCAGGCUUGCGUUGGAGCCCUGCGGCUGCCGCAGCCUCAUAAAAGCAGUGGCGGGCUCGCUAUCACACCGAGUGCAGUAGAUUACUCUUCGCUCAGGGCGUGCAGCGGGUUCCGGCCGUGAAACCCCCUACUUUUAAAGGUUGACCUCGGAUCAGGUAGGAAUACCCGCUGAACUUAAGCAUAUCAAUAAGCGGAGGA